This 22-nucleotide non-coding RNA is filed under the name Mus musculus (house mouse). Lineage: Eukaryota; Metazoa; Chordata; Mammalia; Rodentia; Muridae. The record is from RNAcentral.
UGGGACCUUUAAGAAGGGCUGA